RNAcentral lists this long non-coding RNA (221 nucleotides) under Nicotiana benthamiana. RNAcentral describes it as "long non-coding RNA (NBEN_LNC022074)". Lineage: Eukaryota; Viridiplantae; Streptophyta; Magnoliopsida; Solanales; Solanaceae. The record is from RNAcentral.
AAACUACAACUUGGGUUCUCUUUUAAAGUUUUAGAUUUUAGACAUUUUUCAGUUUUGAGCUUUAACAUGUGAUCUUUUCUGGUUCUUUUAGUUCAAGAUUCAAUCUUUAGCAUUUCUUAACUGUUCUUUCUUUACUGGAGAGUCCAACAUUUCCCUUUGAAUUCUUGCUUUUCGCCGGCGAUUUUUCCGGCGACUCCUGCUCUUUUCCUCCUAUUCUCUCU